Molecule: ribosomal RNA, 377 nt
Filed under: uncultured bacterium
Lineage: Bacteria
Description: bacterial SSU rRNA
Rfam family: Bacterial small subunit ribosomal RNA
Source: RNAcentral
UAAUACGGAGGGUGCGAGCGUUGUCCGGAAUCACUGGGCGUAAAGGGCGCGUAGGCGGCUCGUUAAGUGGCUGGUGAAAUCCCGGGGCUCAACUCCGGGGCUGCCGGUCAUACUGGCGAGCUGGAGCACGGUAGAGGCGGAUGGAAUUCCCGGUGUAGCGGUGGAAUGCGUAGAUAUCGGGAAGAAUACCGGUGGCGAAGGCGUUCCGCUGGGCCGUUGCUGACGCUGAGGCGCGACAGCGUGGGGAGCAAACAGGAUUAGAUACCCUGGUAGUCCACGCCGUAAACGAUGGACACUAGGCGUCGGGGGGAGCGACCCUCCCGGUGCCGUCGCUAACGCAGUAAGUGUCCCGCCUGGGGAGUACGGCCGCAAGGCUG